AGCCCAGAGCCUGAAUCAGUGUGUGUGUUAGUGGAAGCGUCUGGAAAGGCGCGCGAUACAGGGUGACAGCCCCGUACACAAAAAUGCACAUGCUGUGAGCUCGAUGAGUAGGGCGGGACACGUGGUAUCCUGUCUGAAUAUGGGGGGACCAUCCUCCAAGGCUAAAUACUCCUGACUGACCGAUAGUGAACCAGUACCGUGAGGGAAAGGCGAAAAGAACCCCGGCGAGGGGAGUGAAAAAGAACCUGAAACCGUGUACGUACAAGCAGUGGGAGCACGCUUAGGCGUGUGACUGCGUACCUUUUGUAUAAUGGGUCAGCGACUUAUAUUCUGUAGCAAGGUUAACCGAAUAGGGGAGCCGAAGGGAAACCGAGUCUUAACUGGGCGUUAAGUUGCAGGGUAUAGACCCGAAACCCGGUGAUCUAGCCAUGGGCAGGUUGAAGGUUGGGUAACACUAACUGGAGGACCGAACCGACUAAUGUUGAAAAAUUAGCGGAUGACUUGUGGCUGGGGGUGAAAGGCCAAUCAAACCGGGAGAUAGCUGGUUCUCCCCGAAAGCUAUUUAGGUAGCGCCUCGUGAAUUCAUCUCCGGGGGUAGAGCACUGUUUCGGCAAGGGGGUCAUCCCGACUUACCAACCCGAUGCAAACUGCGAAUACCGGAGAAUGUUAUCACGGGAGACACACGGCGGGUGCUAACGUCCGUCGUGAAGAGGGAAACAACCCAGACCGCCAGCUAAGGUCCCAAAGUCAUGGUUAAGUGGGAAACGAUGUGGGAAGGCCCAGACAGCCAGGAUGUUGGCUUAGAAGCAGCCAUCAUUUAAAGAAAGCGUAAUAGCUCACUGGUCGAGUCGGCCUGCGCGGAAGAUGUAACGGGGCUAAACCAUGCACCGAAGCUGCGGCAGCGACGCUUAUGCGUUGUUGGGUAGGGGAGCGUUCUGUAAGCCUGUGAAGGUGUGCUGUGAGGCAUGCUGGAGGUAUCAGAAGUGCGAAUGCUGACAUAAGUAACGAUAAAGCGGGUGAAAAGCCCGCUCGCCGGAAGACCAAGGGUUCCUGUCCAACGUUAAUCGGGGCAGGGUGAGUCGACCCCUAAGGCGAGGCCGAAAGGCGUAGUCGAUGGGAAACAGGUUAAUAUUCCUGUACUUG
Molecule: ribosomal RNA, 1143 nt
Filed under: Escherichia coli
Lineage: Bacteria; Pseudomonadati; Pseudomonadota; Gammaproteobacteria; Enterobacterales; Enterobacteriaceae
Description: partial 23S ribosomal RNA
Rfam family: Bacterial large subunit ribosomal RNA
Source: RNAcentral